UACGUAGGUGGCAAGCGUUGUCCGGAUUUACUGGGCGUAAAGAGCGCGCAGGCGGUCGUUCAAGUCGCGUGUGAAAGCCCCCGGCUCAACUGGGGAGGGUCACGCGAUACUGAUCGACUCGAAGGCAGGAGAGGGUAGUGGAAUUCCCGGUGUAGUGGUGAAAUGCGUAGAUAUCGGGAGGAACACCAGUGGCGAAGGCGGCCUUCUGGACGAUGACUGACGCUGAGACGCGAAAGCGUGGGGAGCAAACAGG
RNAcentral lists this ribosomal RNA (253 nucleotides) under uncultured bacterium. RNAcentral describes it as "partial 16S ribosomal RNA". It matches the Rfam family "Bacterial small subunit ribosomal RNA", at positions 524 to 776 of the family's 1533-position model. The record is from RNAcentral.